GACUACCGGGGUAUCUAAUCCUGUUUGCUCCCCACGCUUUCGUGCAUCAGCGUCAGUGUCAGUCCAGAAAGCCGCCUUCGCCACUGGUGUUCCUCCUAAUAUCUACGCAUUUCACCGCUACACUAGGAAUUCCGCUUCCCUCUCCUGAACUCUAGCUCUCCAGUUUUGAAUGCACCCCCCAAGUUAAGCCCGGGUAUUUCACAUCCAACUUAAAAAGCCGCCUACGCACCCUUUACGCCCAGUAAUUCCGGACAACGCUCGCCCCCUACGUAUUACCGCGGCUGCUGGCACGUAGUUAGCCGGGGCUUCCUCACAAGGUACCGUCACUUCUUCGUCCCUUGCGACAGAGGUUUACAAUCCGAAAACCUUCUUCCCUCACGCGGCGUUGCUGGGUCAGGCUUGCGCCCAUUGCCCAAUAUUCCCCACUGCAGCCACCCGUAGG
RNAcentral lists this ribosomal RNA (442 nucleotides) under uncultured Bacillota bacterium. RNAcentral's name for it is "uncultured Firmicutes bacterium partial 16S ribosomal RNA". The record is from RNAcentral. Lineage: Bacteria; Bacillati; Bacillota.